UGGGGAAUAUUGGACAAUGGGCGCAAGCCUGAUCCAGCCAUGCCGCGUGAGUGAUGAAGGCCCUAGGGUUGUAAAUCUCUUUCACCGGUGAAGAUAAUGACGGUAACCGGAGAAGAAGCUCCGGCUAACUUCGUGCCAGCAGCCGCGGUAAUACGAAGGGGGAUAGCGUUGUUCGGAUUUACUGGGCGUAAAGCGCACGUAGGCGGACUAUUAAGUCAGGGGUGAAAUCCCGGGGCUCAACCCCGGAACUGCCUUUGAUACUGGUAGUCUUGAGUUCGAGAGAGGUGAGUGGAAUUCCGAGUGUAGAGGUGAAGUUCGUAGAUAUUCGGAGGAACACCAGUGGCGAAGGCGGCUCACUGGCUCGAUACUGACGCUGAGGUGCGAAAGCGUGGGGAGCAAACAGG
This 404-nucleotide ribosomal RNA is filed under the name Actinomycetes bacterium. RNAcentral's name for it is "Actinobacteria bacterium partial 16S ribosomal RNA". It matches the Rfam family "Bacterial small subunit ribosomal RNA", at positions 355 to 776 of the family's 1533-position model. Lineage: Bacteria; Bacillati; Actinomycetota; Actinomycetes. The record is from RNAcentral.